This 465-nucleotide ribosomal RNA is filed under the name Vreelandella stevensii. RNAcentral describes it as "partial 16S ribosomal RNA". It matches the Rfam family "Bacterial small subunit ribosomal RNA", at positions 338 to 795 of the family's 1533-position model. Lineage: Bacteria; Pseudomonadati; Pseudomonadota; Gammaproteobacteria; Oceanospirillales; Halomonadaceae. The record is from RNAcentral.
CCUACGGGAGGCUGCAGUGGGGAAUAUUGGACAAUGGGGGCAACCCUGAUCCAGCCAUGCCGCGUGUGUGAAGAAGGCCCUCGGGUUGUAAAGCACUUUCAGUGAGGAAGAACGCCUGGUGGUUAAUACCCAUCAGGAAAGACAUCACUCACAGAAGAAGCACCGGCUAACUCCGUGCCAGCAGCCGCGGUAAUACGGAGGGUGCGAGCGUUAAUCGGAAUUACUGGGCGUAAAGCGCGCGUAGGUGGCUUGAUAAGCCGGUUGUGAAAGCCCCGGGCUCAACCUGGGAACGGCAUCCGGAACUGUCAAGCUAGAGUGCAGGAGAGGAAGGUAGAAUUCCCGGUGUAGCGGUGAAAUGCGUAGAGAUCGGGAGGAAUACCAGUGGCGAAGGCGGCCUUCUGGACUGACACUGACACUGAGGUGCGAAAGCGUGGGUAGCAAACAGGAUUAGAUACCCUAGUAGUC